RNAcentral lists this ribosomal RNA (497 nucleotides) under uncultured bacterium. RNAcentral's name for it is "partial 16S ribosomal RNA". It matches the Rfam family "Bacterial small subunit ribosomal RNA", at positions 28 to 507 of the family's 1533-position model. The record is from RNAcentral.
GAUGAACGCUGGCGGCGUGCCUAAUACAUGCAAGUCGAGCGAACGGACGCGACGCUUGCUUCUCUGAUGUUAGCGGAGGGCGGGUGAGUAACACGUGGAUAACCUACCUAUAAGACUGGGAUAACUUCGGGAAACCGUAGCUAAUACCGGAUAAUAUUUUGAACCGCAUGGUUCAAAAGUGAAAGACGGUCUUGCUGUCACUUCUAGAUGGAUCCGCGCUGCAUUAGCUAGUUGGUAAGGUAACGGCUUACCAAGGCAACGAUGCAUAGCCGACCUGAGAGGGUGGUCGGCCGCCUGAGAACUGGGACACGGACCAGACUCCUACGGGAGGCAGCAGUAGGGAAUCUUCCGCAGUGGGCGAAAGCCUGACGGAGCAACGCCACGUGAGUGAUGAAGGUCUUCGGAUCGUGAAACUCUGUUAUGAGGGAAGAACAUAUGUGUAAGGAACUGUGCACAUCGUGACGGUACCGAAUCAGAAAGCCACGGCUAACUACGUG